AGGCCAAAGGAUGAUCGUGGAUUUAAAUUUCUCACGACGGUCGUCUGAUACACUUUGUGUGAAUAUUGAUGUAAUAAUCCAUUUUUCUGAUGGCA
Salvia splendens (bonfire salvia) is the source of this 95-nucleotide small nucleolar RNA. RefSeq annotates it as small nucleolar RNA Z161/Z228. Lineage: Eukaryota; Viridiplantae; Streptophyta; Magnoliopsida; Lamiales; Lamiaceae. The record is from RefSeq and is a predicted model, not a curated record. The transcript has a single exon.